UACCUGGAUGAUUCUGCCCCUUUUAAGAUGCUUGUGCAUAGAUUAACCCAUGCAUGUCUAAGCAUAAGCAACUUUGUACUGUGAAACUGCGAAUGGCUCAUUAAAUCAUUUAUAGUUUAUUUGAUGGUUUUUGCUACAUGGAUAACUGUGGUAAUUCUAGAGCUAAUACAUGCAUUCUAGCCCCAACUUCCGGAAGGGGUGUAUUUAUUAGAUAAAAAUCCACUUUGUUGAUGAAUCAUAAUAACUUCUCGGACCGCAUGGCCUCGUGCUGGCGGUGCUUCAUUCAAAUAUCUGCCCUAUCAACUGUCCAUGGAAAGAUAGAGGCCUACCAUGGUUGCAACUGGUAACGAGUAAUAAUGGUUCGAUUCCGGAGAGGGAGCCUGAGAAACGGCUACCACAUCCAAGGAAGGCAGCAAGCUCGCAAAUUACCCAAUCCCAACACGGGGAGGUAGUGACAAUAUGUAACAAUAUACGGUCUUAUACGUCAUAUAAUUGGAAUGAGUACAAUUUAAAUCCCUUAACGAGGAACAAUUGCAUGGCAAGUCUGGUGCCAGCAACCUCGGUAAUUCCAGCUCCAAUAACGUAUAUUAAAGUUGUUGCAGUUAAAAAGCUCGUACUUGGACCUUGGACCUGGACAUGCGGACCGCCUCACGGCGAGAACUGACUUGCUGGGUCUUUCCUCUUGGUGAUCUGCUGUUUCGGCAGAAAGCAACGACCGAUCUUUACUUUGAAAAAAUUACAGUGUUCAAAGCAAGCUCGAUCCCUGAAUAUAUUAUCAUGUAACAAUCAAAUAGGACAUGCGGUUCUAUUUUGUUGGAUGUUGAAUCGACGUAAUGAUUAAUAAGGACAGACAGGGUCAUUACUACUCAGAUGCUACUAGUGCAAUUCAUUGGAUUUUAUGAAGAUUAACUUCUAUUAAAAAAUUUUGCCAAGAAAAUCUCAUAACCCAAAAUAAAUGCCAGGGUAUCAAAACCGAUAAAAACCCCUGUAUGAUAACAAAAAUUUUCCCGAAAAGGUAUCGGUUCAUGUUUCCUUUGAACCGAUUCCCACCUUAAAAACACCAAAUUUUUGUUUCCGGGGGAGAUAGUCUUACGGGUAAACUUCAAAAUUAACUAUUGGCCCCCCAACUUGAAACCGCCUUGUAUUGAAUAACCGGGGAAUUCCCA
This 1166-nucleotide ribosomal RNA is filed under the name uncultured eukaryote. Its description in RNAcentral is "bacterial SSU rRNA". It matches the Rfam family "Eukaryotic small subunit ribosomal RNA". The record is from RNAcentral.